Molecule: ribosomal RNA, 508 nt
Filed under: uncultured bacterium
Lineage: Bacteria
Description: partial 16S ribosomal RNA
Rfam family: Bacterial small subunit ribosomal RNA
Source: RNAcentral
GAUGAACGCUAGCUACAGGCUUAACACAUGCAAGUCGAGGGGAAACGAUAUUGGAAGCUUGCUUCCGAUAGGCGUCGACCGGCGCACGGGUGAGUAACGCGUAUCCAACCUGCCCAUCACUUGGGGAUAACCUUGCGAAAGUAAGACUAAUACCCAAUGAUAUCUCUGGAAGACAUCUGAGAGGGAUUAAAGAUUUAUCGGUGAUGGAUGGGGAUGCGUCUGAUUAGCUUGUUGGCGGGGUAACGGCCCACCAAGGCGACGAUCAGUAGGGGUUCUGAGAGGAAGGUCCCCCACAUUGGAACUGAGACACGGUCCAAACUCCUACGGGAGGCAGCAGUGAGGAAUAUUGGUCAAUGGACGAGAGUCUGAACCAGCCAAGUAGCGUGCAGGAUGACGGCCCUAUGGGUUGUAAACUGCUUUUAUAAGGGAAUAAAGUGAGCCUCGUGAGGCUUUUUGCAUGUACCUUAUGAAUAAGGACCGGCUAAUUCCGUGCCAGCCGCCGCCGUAA